UACGUAGGUGGCAAGCGUUGUCCGGAUUUACUGGGCGUAAAGGAUGCGUAGGCGGACAUUUAAGUCAGAUGUGAAAUACCCGAGCUUAACUUGGGUGCUGCAUUUGAAACUGGGUGUCUAGAGUGCAGGAGAGGUAAGUGGAAUUCCUAGUGUAGCGGUGAAAUGCGUAGAGAUUAGGAAGAACACCAGUGGCGAAGGCGGCUCACUGGACCGGUACUGACGCUGAUGCGCGAAAGCGUGGGGAGCAAACGGG
This 253-nucleotide ribosomal RNA is filed under the name uncultured bacterium. RNAcentral's name for it is "partial 16S ribosomal RNA". It matches the Rfam family "Bacterial small subunit ribosomal RNA", at positions 524 to 776 of the family's 1533-position model. The record is from RNAcentral.